UCCGUAGGUGAACCUGCGGAGGGAUCAUUACCGAGUUUACAACUCCCAAACCCCUGUGAACAUACCUUAAUGUUGCCUCGGCGGAUCAGCCCGCGCCCCGUAAAACGGGACGGCCCGCCAGAGGACCCAAACUCUAAUGUUUCUUAUUGUAACUUCUGAGUAAAACAAACAAAUAAAUCAAAACUUUCAACAACGGAUCUCUUGGUUCUGGCAUCGAUGAAGAACGCAGCAAAAUGCGAUAAGUAAUGUGAAUUGCAGAAUUCAGUGAAUCAUCGAAUCUUUGAACGCACAUUGCGCCCGCUGGUAUUCCGGCGGGCAUGCCUGUUCGAGCGUCAUUUCAACCCUCAAGCCCCCGGGUUUGGUGUUGGGGAUCGGCUCUGCCCUUCUGGGCGGUGCCGCCCCCGAAAUACAUUGGCGGUCUCGCUGCAGCCUCCAUUGCGUAGUAGCUAACACCUCGCAACUGGAACGCGGCGCGGCCAUGCCGUAAAACCCCAACUUCUGAAUDUUGACCUCGGAUCAGGUA
RNAcentral lists this ribosomal RNA (523 nucleotides) under Fusarium avenaceum. RNAcentral describes it as "eukaryotic LSU rRNA". The stretch from base 182 to 335 matches the Rfam family "5.8S ribosomal RNA". Lineage: Eukaryota; Fungi; Ascomycota; Sordariomycetes; Hypocreales; Nectriaceae. The record is from RNAcentral.